UCUUAAUAGGCUAGUCACACCCUGUGCAGGAGUCAGUCCCAGUCAGGACACAGCAUGGACAUGAGGGUCCCCACUCAGCUCCUGGGGCUCCUGCUGCUCUGGCUCCCAGGUGCCAGAUGUGACAUCCAGAUGACCCAGUCUCCAUCCUCCCUCUCUGCAUCUGUAGGAGACAGAGUUACCAUCGCUUGCCGGGCGAGUCAGGGCAUUAGCAAUUAUUUAGCCUGGUAUCAGCAGAAACUGGGGGAAACUCCUAAGCUCCUGAUCUAUGCUGCUUCCAGUUUGCAAAGUGGGAUUCCCUCUUGGUUCAGUGGCAGUGGAUCUGGGACAGAUUUCACUCUCACCAUCAGCAGCCUGCAGCCUGAAGAUAUUGCAACAUAUUACUGUCAACACUAUGAUAAUUUCCCUCCCACAGUGUUACAAGUCAUAACAUAAAUCACCCAGGAGAGCAGAUGUGUGAGGCUCAGUGGUCCCAGAUGCCCCUUCUGGUGCCUCCACCUGCUGAGAGUGUUUCUCAAAUCAGAGUCACACUUUGAAGGUCACUGGAGAGUUUUUGUAAAAGAGCCAUGAAGGCCCACUUACUCAUAGCUGUCUUUCCUUGUCCUAAUCCCCAGUA
Rhinopithecus roxellana (golden snub-nosed monkey) is the source of this 613-nucleotide non-coding RNA. NCBI's taxonomy places the organism in Eukaryota, Metazoa, Chordata, Mammalia, Primates, Cercopithecidae. The record is from the annotation of a RefSeq genome assembly.